UACGGGGGGAGCAAGCGUUGUUCGGAUUUACUGGGCGUAAAGGGCGCGUAGGCGGCCUGUGCAAGUCAGUUGUGAAAUCUCCGAGCUUAACUCGGAACGGUCAACUGAUACUGCUCGGCUAGAGUGCGGAAGGGGCAACUGGAAUUCUUGGUGUAGCGGUGAAAUGCGUAGAUAUCCGGAGGAACACCGGUGGCGAAGGCGGCUUCCUGGACCGACACUGACGCUGAGGCGCGAAAGCUAGGGGAGCAAACGGG
Molecule: ribosomal RNA, 254 nt
Filed under: uncultured bacterium
Lineage: Bacteria
Description: partial 16S ribosomal RNA
Rfam family: Bacterial small subunit ribosomal RNA
Source: RNAcentral